Long non-coding RNA from Lacerta agilis (Sand lizard), 873 nucleotides. RefSeq lists it as uncharacterized. The transcript is spliced from 3 exons. The record is from RefSeq and is a predicted model, not a curated record. NCBI's taxonomy places the organism in Eukaryota, Metazoa, Chordata, Lepidosauria, Squamata, Lacertidae.
CAGAGAGGUCACUUUGGCUCUGCUAAUGCACUAAAAACAAUGCAGGAUGCAACAGUCAAGUCACUGCUCUCUGCAGCCACAGAAGACGCUUGAUUCUCCAGUGGUUUGACUUCACCCCCAGAGGCGCAUGCCAUUGUCUUUCCAAACAGAUGGAUGCAUGCCAGCAAAAAAGCUAGAUCUGCAGAACUGGAUUCCUGCCCAGCAACCUGGCCUACAGAAGCAAAAGAGGACAGGUGUACUCAGUUACUAACCUUCCCAGGCGCAACCUAUCACAGACAUCAAGAUAAAGGCAUUUUUACCCCACUCUCCAAUCAUGUUCCCAGGAUGGCUAUAGUUGCAAUGGUUUGUAGCCACUGGUGCAUGCAUGUGAAUGCAGCAGAUAUCCACUCAUGCACCAGGACUUCCACUUCAUAAUGCUACCCCCCUUCAGCUCAGUGCACGCUCCCACUAAGAAUCUGUUGCAGUGUUGGAAGACACUCUGGAGCAGAUUUGGGGGUAUGUGCACGGCUACGGUAGAAGAAAAGGAGGAGGGAAAAACAUAUUGCAUGAAAGUCCAGUAAACGUAAUAAUUGAGAACAAAUACAUCUCUACUGCUGUAGUCAUGACUCCUUGUACUAAAAAAGAACACUGAUCACACCUGAAUUUUUUCAUUGUUAGUUUAUUGCAAUGUGAACCAGUUAUUAUGAAUUCUUGACACAUGGAACUUCUGAACAUAUAACUUGGUUUUAUGUCGCAUCUCAAUACAGUACAAUAAAAUCUGUUUAUACAAAAUACUCUAUUGGCUUUAUAAACAAACAUAUUCUAAAGUAUGAAAAUACCCUGACCUGUUCCUUUUUGUACAAUUUUAGAGCAGAAUGCAAUUACAAAAAAAAA